RNAcentral lists this ribosomal RNA (305 nucleotides) under uncultured bacterium. RNAcentral's name for it is "bacterial SSU rRNA". It matches the Rfam family "Bacterial small subunit ribosomal RNA", at positions 335 to 656 of the family's 1533-position model. The record is from RNAcentral.
CCUCCUACGGGAGGCAGCAGUGGGGAAUAUUGCACAAUGGGGGAAACCCUGAUGCAGCAACGCCGCGUGAGUGAAGGAGUAUUUCGGUAUGUAAAGCUCUAUCAGUAGGGAAGAAGAAAGACGAUACCUGACUAAGAGGCCCCGGCUAACUACGUGCCAGCAGCCGCGGUAAUACGUAGGGGGCAAGCGUUAUCCGGAUUUACUGGGUGUAAAGGGAGCGCAGACGGUGAGACAAGUCUGAAGUGAAAGCCCGGGGCUCAACCCCGGGACUGCUUUGGAAACUGCCUGACUGGAGUGCUGGAGAG